AGCGAACGCUGGCGGCAGGCCUAACACAUGCAAGUCGAACGAACUCUUCGGAGUUGGUGGCGGACGGGUGAGUAACACGUGGGAACGUGCCUUUAGGUUCGGAAUAACUCAGGGAAACUUGUGCUAAUACCGAAUGUGCCCUUCGGGGGAAAGAUUUAUCGCCUUUAGAGCGGCCCGCGUCUGAUUAGCUAGUUGGUGAGGUAAAGGCUCACCAAGGCGACGAUCAGUAGCUGGUCUGAGAGGAUGAUCAGCCACAUUGGGACUGAGACACGGCCCAAACUCCUACGGGAGGCAGCAGUGGGGAAUCUUGCGCAAUGGGCGAAAGCCUGACGCAGCCAUGCCGCGUGAAUGAUGAAGGUCUUAGGAUUGUAAAAUUCUUUCACCGGGGACGAUAAUGACGGUACCCGGAGAAGAAGCCCCGGCUAACUUCGUG
This 433-nucleotide ribosomal RNA is filed under the name uncultured bacterium. Its description in RNAcentral is "partial 16S ribosomal RNA". It matches the Rfam family "Bacterial small subunit ribosomal RNA", at positions 29 to 507 of the family's 1533-position model. The record is from RNAcentral.